This is a long non-coding RNA of Mesocricetus auratus (golden hamster), 634 nucleotides long. RefSeq lists it as uncharacterized. The record is from RefSeq and is a predicted model, not a curated record. The transcript has 3 exons. NCBI's taxonomy places the organism in Eukaryota, Metazoa, Chordata, Mammalia, Rodentia, Cricetidae.
GCAGUUUAAGAUGUGAGCUCUGGCUGGAUAUGAUGGUGAGCAACUUUAAUCCCAGCAUUUGGAUUUAACUGUCAGAGGCAGUUAAAUCUCUGAAAUGGAGGGCGGCCUUGGUUACCUAGCAAGUUACAAGAGUGCCAAUGCUACAUAGAGAGAUCCUGUCUCAGUUUCCUUCUUCUCCACACAAAAAGAGACUCAAGAAUUGAAACACGCUUGGGAGAGGAUACUCAAGCAAAGCCUGCACAGCCUCUCCGAAAUAAGGCUCCCCUCAACAGCAAAUGAAAACACACCAGCAGGAGCCAGGAAGAGUUUUCAACUUAGCGAGUAAGAGCCACUUAUGAAGCCCAGACGAUGUUGUUGAUGUCAGACAUUUAGUUCAGGGGGAAGCAGGUCCUCAGAGAUCCUCAGUGUCUUGCUCAACCAUCAUCAGAGAAAAUUCUUCUCGCAACAGAUAGGAACAAAUACAGAGACCUACUGUUGUUAAUUAUGGAAUAAGGACCAGCAUGAUAGAUGGAGCACAAGCCAUCGAAAGCAUAUUAAUCAUAGUUUAUUAUCGUGAGACUGAAAGGGAGAAGACAGACAUGAUAGAGAGAGAGAAAGAUGAGAGAGAAGAGAUGAUGAGAGAGGAUGAGAUGAG